This is a non-coding RNA of Triticum aestivum (bread wheat), 135 nucleotides long. NCBI's taxonomy places the organism in Eukaryota, Viridiplantae, Streptophyta, Magnoliopsida, Poales, Poaceae. The record is from Rfam.
UAAAUACUCCCUCCGUCCGAAAAUACUUGUCAUCAAAAUGGAUAAAAAGAGAUGUAUCUAAAACUAAAAGACGUCUAGAUACAUUUCCUUUUAUCCAUUUUGAUGACAAGUAUUUCCGGACGGAGGGAGUAUUUG